UGUACCCACUCCGCGGGCCCUGCAAUCCCAUAGCGGGUAGGCUAGACAUUUCGAUAGGAUGGGCAGCAAUAGGAGUGCAAUGUAGACAGGGGGGUAGGAUUUAACUGGUGUAGGCGAGUGAGAUGAGUAGAUAUAGGGGGGGAAUGCCGAGUCGCGAAGGCGGCCCCCCUGCACAAAGAAUGACGCUCAGGUGCGAAAGAGUGGGGGAGCAAACAGGCUUGGAUACCUUGGUAGUCCAGUGCCGUAAACGAUGUCAUGUUGGAGGUUGUUCCCUUGAGGAGUGGCUUCCGGAGCUAACGCGUUAAGUCGACCGCCUGGGGAGUACGGCCGCAAGGUUAAAACUCAAAUGAAUUGACGGGGGCCCGCACAAGCGGUGGAGCAUGUGGUUUAAUUAGAUGCAACGCGAAGAACCUUACUUACUUUUGACAUCCACGGAAUUUAGCCGAGAUGGUUUAGUGCCUUCGGGAACUAUGAGACAGGUGCUGCAUGGCCGUGGUCAGCUUCAGUUGUGAAAUGUUGGGUUAAGUCCCGCAACGAGCGCAACCCUUAUCCUUUUUUGCCAGCGGUUCGACCGGGCACUCAAAGGAGACUGCCAGUGAUAAACCGGAGGAAGGUGGGGAUGACGUCAAGUCAUCAUGGCCCUUACGAGUAGGGCUACACACGUGAUACAAUGGUGCAUACAAAGAGAAGCGACCUCGCGAGAGCAAGCGGACCUCAUAAAGUGUGUCGUAGUCCGGAUUGGAGUCUGCAACUCGACUCCAUGAAGUCGGAAUCGCUAGUAAUCGUAGAUCAGAAUGUUACGGUGAAUACGUUCCCGGGCCUUGUACACACCGCCCGUCACCCCAUGGGAGUGGGUUGCAACAAGAAGUAGGGUAGCUUAACCCACGGAGGGCGCUAACCACGUUGAUUCGGUGC
This 915-nucleotide ribosomal RNA is filed under the name Enterobacter cancerogenus. RNAcentral's name for it is "bacterial SSU rRNA". It matches the Rfam family "Bacterial small subunit ribosomal RNA", at positions 601 to 1474 of the family's 1533-position model. The record is from RNAcentral. Lineage: Bacteria; Pseudomonadati; Pseudomonadota; Gammaproteobacteria; Enterobacterales; Enterobacteriaceae.